AAAAAAAAAACAAUAAAGCCAAAAAAAAUAAACAAACUGAUCUAGAGAACCCAAAUCUGUUUUUAUGAAUAAUAGUGUUGCAGAACCCAAAAUAUAAAUCUUCGAUAUAUAGAAAUAAACAAUAGCUACUUGUUAGAGAAGAUGGGCUGGGACUACCGCUUUUUAGGUGCAAAUUUUUUUUAUUGUGGUUUAUUACUCAUGUGGUUUAUUAGGAAGUGAAUCAGGGGAUUUUUGAGGCUCCAGCGUUUUAUCUGCUAGGUGAAGAACUUUUUUUGUUGUGUUUAUUAUUCUUGUGGAUUAUUAAGAGGUAAUCAAGGGAUUUUUGGGUAGAGAGGUAAAUCAGGGGAUUUUUGGGUAGAGAGGUAAAUCAGGGGAUUUUUGGGUAAAGAGACAGUGAAAGAUUUGACUCGAUUAUUCACGUAAUAGAUUUUUACCUUUAGGCGUAAUUGAUUUUUUGGGAAAUCUUGCUUAAUCUUCUAAAAUGUUAUAUUUCUAAUCUAUUUUGAUGUAAUAGAUUUUCAGGUUCUCGGCCUCUAGACGAAAUGAGCACAACAGAAAAAGACACCUUUUGUAAUCAUAUCAUACAAACGUAAUAAAACUUUUUAAGAAAUAGG
Molecule: long non-coding RNA, 614 nt
Filed under: Amborella trichopoda
Lineage: Eukaryota; Viridiplantae; Streptophyta; Magnoliopsida; Amborellales; Amborellaceae
Description: long non-coding RNA (ATRI_LNC004360)
Source: RNAcentral